RNAcentral lists this transfer RNA (73 nucleotides) under Camelus bactrianus (Bactrian camel). It matches the Rfam family "tRNA". Rfam says of the family: Transfer RNA (tRNA) molecules are approximately 80 nucleotides in length. RNAcentral also lists the same sequence under 1 other name. Lineage: Eukaryota; Metazoa; Chordata; Mammalia; Artiodactyla; Camelidae. The record is from Rfam by way of RNAcentral.
GAGGGUAUAGCUCAAGUGGAAGAGCGCACGCUUAGCAUGCAUGAGGUCCUGGGUUCAAUGCCCAGUACCUCCU